GACGAACGCUGGCGGCGUGCUUAACACAUGCAAGUCGAACGGAAAGGCCCUGCUUUUGUGGGGUGCUCGAGUGGCGAACGGGUGAGUAACACGUGAGUAACCUGCCCUUGACUUUGGGAUAACUUCAGGAAACUGGGGCUAAUACCGGAUAGGAGCUCCUGCUGCAUGGGGGGGGUUGGAAAGUUUCGGCGGUUGGGGAUGGACUCGCGGCUUAUCAGCUUGUUGGUGGGGUAGUGGCUUACCAAGGCUUUGACGGGUAGCCGGCCUGUGAGGGUGACCGGCCACAUUGGGACUGAGAUACGGCCCAGACUCCUACGGGAGGCAGCAGUGGGGAAUAUUGCACAAUGGGCGGAAGCCUGAUGCAGCAACGCCGCGUGCGGGAUGACGGCCUUCGGGUGGUAAACCGCUUUCGCCUGUGACGAAGCGUGAGUGACGGUAAUGGGUAAAGAAGCACCGGCUAACUACGUG
RNAcentral lists this ribosomal RNA (468 nucleotides) under uncultured bacterium. RNAcentral describes it as "partial 16S ribosomal RNA". It matches the Rfam family "Bacterial small subunit ribosomal RNA", at positions 28 to 507 of the family's 1533-position model. The record is from RNAcentral.